This 353-nucleotide unclassified non-coding RNA is filed under the name Hevea brasiliensis (rubber tree). The record is from RNAcentral. Lineage: Eukaryota; Viridiplantae; Streptophyta; Magnoliopsida; Malpighiales; Euphorbiaceae.
UUCCUUUUCUUUUCUUUUUUUUUCACAUCCCAUACAUGAAACGAAAACACAAUCGCAAAAUCAAAUUUCGAAAAUUUCAAAUAGAGGGCUCAUGAUAAUUAAAGUUCAAAAGAUUUAACAUUUUACCUGACUGUACAAAUCCAACAAUUGCAUCAUCAACAGGUAUUGCUUGACUCAUUCUCUCCAGAUGUAGUUGGACUGAGCUCUCGUUUCGUUGACUCUUCUUUGCUGCACAUUGAUGCUGCACUAUCCUCACAUUUAGUUGAGUCCUCACCAGGCAUUGAAGUUGGGCAUGGCUCGGAAACUUCAUGCAACUCCAUAUGGCCAGCACCACCAUUUCUUUCUGAAGUUUC